GUCGUCGUAGGAACGGGCCGGAACCCUCAAGUUCCGGCCCGUUUUCGCGCCGCUGUCCGGUCUGCAAAACCUCCAUCCCCGGUUCAAAUCCGGGCGGCGCCUCCA
This 105-nucleotide transfer RNA is filed under the name Vicinamibacterales bacterium. RNAcentral describes it as "tRNA-Cys". The record is from RNAcentral. Lineage: Bacteria; Pseudomonadati; Acidobacteriota; Vicinamibacteria; Vicinamibacterales.